RNAcentral lists this ribosomal RNA (433 nucleotides) under uncultured bacterium. RNAcentral describes it as "partial 16S ribosomal RNA". It matches the Rfam family "Bacterial small subunit ribosomal RNA", at positions 29 to 507 of the family's 1533-position model. The record is from RNAcentral.
AACGAACGCUGGCGGCAUGCCUAACACAUGCAAGUCGAACGAUGCCUUCGGGCAUAGUGGCGCACGGGUGCGUAACGCGUGGGAAUCUGCCUUUCGGUUCGGAAUAACUCAGGGAAACUUGAGCUAAUACCGGAUAACGUCGCAAGACCAAAGAUUUAUCACCGAAAGAUGAGCCCGCGUAGGAUUAGCUAGUUGGUGAGGUAAAGGCUCACCAAGGCGACGAUCCUUAGCUGGUCUGAGAGGAUGAUCAGCCACACUGGGACUGAGACACGGCCCAGAAUCCUACGGGAAGCAGCAGUGGGGAAUAUUGGACAAUGGGCGAAAGCCUGAUCCAGCAAUGCCGCGUGAGUGAUGAAGGCCUUAGGGUUGUAAAGCUCUUUUACCCGGGAAGAUAAUGACGGUACCGGGAGAAUAAGCCCCGGCUAACUCCGUG